Molecule: ribosomal RNA, 2801 nt
Filed under: Escherichia coli
Lineage: Bacteria; Pseudomonadati; Pseudomonadota; Gammaproteobacteria; Enterobacterales; Enterobacteriaceae
Description: bacterial LSU rRNA
Rfam family: Bacterial large subunit ribosomal RNA
Source: RNAcentral
GGGUUGUGAGGUUAAGCGACUAAGCGUACACGGUGGAUGCCCUGGCAGUCAGAGGCGAUGAAGGACGUGCUAAUCUGCGAUAAGCGUCGGUAAGGUGAUAUGAACCGUUAUAACCGGCGAUUUCCGAAUGGGGAAACCCAGUGUGUUUCGACACACUAUCAUUAACUGAAUCCAUAGGUUAAUGAGGCGAACCGGGGGAACUGAAACAUCUAAGUACCCCGAGGAAAAGAAAUCAACCGAGAUUCCCCCAGUAGCGGCGAGCGAACGGGGAGGAGCCCAGAGCCUGAAUCAGUGUGUGUGUUAGUGGAAGCGUCUGGAAAGGCGCGCGAUACAGGGUGACAGCCCCGUACACAAAAAUGCACAUACUGUGAGCUCGAUGAGUAGGGCGGGACACGUGGUAUCCUGUCUGAAUAUGGGGGGACCAUCCUCCAAGGCUAAAUACUCCUGACUGACCGAUAGUGAACCAGUACCGUGAGGGAAAGGCGAAAAGAACCCCGGCGAGGGGAGUGAAAAAGAACCUGAAACCGUGUACGUACAAGCAGUGGGAGCCUCUUUUAUGGGGUGACUGCGUACCUUUUGUAUAAUGGGUCAGCGACUUAUAUUCUGUAGCAAGGUUAACCGAAUAGGGGAGCCGAAGGGAAACCGAGUCUUAACUGGGCGUUAAGUUGCAGGGUAUAGACCCGAAACCCGGUGAUCUAGCCAUGGGCAGGUUGAAGGUUGGGUAACACUAACUGGAGGACCGAACCGACUAAUGUUGAAAAAUUAGCGGAUGACUUGUGGCUGGGGGUGAAAGGCCAAUCAAACCGGGAGAUAGCUGGUUCUCCCCGAAAGCUAUUUAGGUAGCGCCUCGUGAAUUCAUCUCCGGGGGUAGAGCACUGUUUCGGCAAGGGGGUCAUCCCGACUUACCAACCCGAUGCAAACUGCGAAUACCGGAGAAUGUUAUCACGGGAGACACACGGCGGGUGCUAACGUCCGUCGUGAAGAGGGAAACAACCCAGACCGCCAGCUAAGGUCCCAAAGUCAUGGUUAAGUGGGAAACGAUGUGGGAAGGCCCAGACAGCCAGGAUGUUGGCUUAGAAGCAGCCAUCAUUUAAAGAAAGCGUAAUAGCUCACUGGUCGAGUCGGCCUGCGCGGAAGAUGUAACGGGGCUAAACCAUGCACCGAAGCUGCGGCAGCGACACUGUGUGUUGUUGGGUAGGGGAGCGUUCUGUAAGCCUGUGAAGGUGUACUGUGAGGUAUGCUGGAGGUAUCAGAAGUGCGAAUGCUGACAUAAGUAACGAUAAAGCGGGUGAAAAGCCCGCUCGCCGGAAGACCAAGGGUUCCUGUCCAACGUUAAUCGGGGCAGGGUGAGUCGACCCCUAAGGCGAGGCCGAAAGGCGUAGUCGAUGGGAAACAGGUUAAUAUUCCUGUACUUGGUGUUACUGCGAAGGGGGGACGGAGAAGGCUAUGUUGGCCGGGCGACGGUUGUCCCGGUUUAAGCGUGUAGGCUGGUUUUCCAGGCAAAUCCGGAAAAUCAAGGCUGAGGCGUGAUGACGAGGCACUACGGUGCUGAAGCAACAAAUGCCCUGCUUCCAGGAAAAGCCUCUAAGCAUCAGGUAACAUCAAAUCGUACCCCAAACCGACACAGGUGGUCAGGUAGAGAAUACCAAGGCGCUUGAGAGAACUCGGGUGAAGGAACUAGGCAAAAUGGUGCCGUAACUUCGGGAGAAGGCACGCUGAUAUGUAGGUGAAGCGACUUGCUCGUGGAGCUGAAAUCAGUCGAAGAUACCAGCUGGCUGCAACUGUUUAUUAAAAACACAGCACUGUGCAAACACGAAAGUGGACGUAUACGGUGUGACGCCUGCCCGGUGCCGGAAGGUUAAUUGAUGGGGUCAGCGCAAGCGAAGCUCUUGAUCGAAGCCCCGGUAAACGGCGGCCGUAACUAUAACGGUCCUAAGGUAGCGAAAUUCCUUGUCGGGUAAGUUCCGACCUGCACGAAUGGCGUAAUGAUGGCCAGGCUGUCUCCACCCGAGACUCAGUGAAAUUGAACUCGCUGUGAAGAUGCAGUGUACCCGCGGCAAGACGGAAAGACCCCGUGAACCUUUACUAUAGCUUGACACUGAACAUUGAGCCUUGAUGUGUAGGAUAGGUGGGAGGCUUUGAAGUGUGGACGCCAGUCUGCAUGGAGCCGACCUUGAAAUACCACCCUUUAAUGUUUGAUGUUCUAACGUGGACCCGUGAUCCGGGUUGCGGACAGUGUCUGGUGGGUAGUUUGACUGGGGCGGUCUCCUCCUAAAGAGUAACGGAGGAGCACGAAGGUUGGCUAAUCCUGGUCGGACAUCAGGAGGUUAGUGCAAUGGCAUAAGCCAGCUUGACUGCGAGCGUGACGGCGCGAGCAGGUGCGAAAGCAGGUCAUAGUGAUCCGGUGGUUCUGAAUGGAAGGGCCAUCGCUCAACGGAUAAAAGGUACUCCGGGGAUAACAGGCUGAUACCGCCCAAGAGUUCAUAUCGACGGCGGUGUUUGGCACCUCGAUGUCGGCUCAUCACAUCCUGGGGCUGAAGUAGGUCCCAAGGGUAUGGCUGUUCGCCAUUUAAAGUGGUACGCGAGCUGGGUUUAGAACGUCGUGAGACAGUUCGGUCCCUAUCUGCCGUGGGCGCUGGAGAACUGAGGGGGGCUGCUCCUAGUACGAGAGGACCGGAGUGGACGCAUCACUGGUGUUCGGGUUGUCAUGCCAAUGGCACUGCCCGGUAGCUAAAUGCGGAAGAGAUAAGUGCUGAAAGCAUCUAAGCACGAAACUUGCCCCGAGAUGAGUUCUCCCUGAC